Long non-coding RNA from Hevea brasiliensis (rubber tree), 1261 nucleotides. RefSeq lists it as uncharacterized. The record is from RefSeq and is a predicted model, not a curated record. The transcript has 3 exons. NCBI's taxonomy places the organism in Eukaryota, Viridiplantae, Streptophyta, Magnoliopsida, Malpighiales, Euphorbiaceae.
UAAUUUAUCCUUGAUUUUAUGUUAAAUGGCUCCUGGAUCCAUAUGGAUAAAAGCGUUUCAAUUGAAUGGAGAACAGUACAGAGGCAGGAAUUGGAAGCUUAAGUCUGUGUGCGGAGAAGGAACCAUGCUGGAGAUUGUUUUUGGUUUAAGGGAAGCAUUGGAUUUAGCUGCUGAAUUACCAGGAACAAGAAAUGGCCAUGAUUCUUGCAGCAAAGGUGUUCCCUUUGGAUAGUUGCCAAACAUAGAGAAAAACCUCAAAGCCCAAGAGCCACUGCCUCUGUAAGCAACAACUAUCUUAAAUCUUGCUAAGACUAAGUUUUAUCGAUGCCUACGAUUUCAGUAGUUACUGCAAAAACCCAUCAAUGUGUAGUCUGGACUAUUGAUGAAUGCUGAAUCAUUCUUGUUAGGUAAGAAGAUUGCAAUUAUAUUAUCAUAGUACAAAAUUAUACCCAUUUCCAUCUUUUAUCUUCUAUUUAUUUAUCCAUGAUCCAUCCACACCAAUAAAUCAGAAUCAACAACUGAGUCUCAGCGAUGGAUCGAGUUGUUGUUGCCAACCUUUUGUCUUAACAGCUUUUUGCAACAUAACAGGUAUACUGCAAUUGAGGUGUAAUUCUGUUCUGUCAUAUCUCAAGAUGCUUCUUCGAGUCGUCGGCUUAUUCUAAUCUGUAGCGCUUCAUUUCUUGCCAUUCAGAAUCUAAAUUGCAUUUCAACGCCAUUAAAGAGGAAUCAAAAGAUCUAGAGGAAACAGAUGGAGUUGUUGGGGCCAUUAAAUCAUUGUUUGUUCCUAAUGAGAAAACAAAAUCUGGGAAACUAUUGCCAAGGGCUUACCUGAAGUCAGCAAGAGAGGUUGUAAAGACACUGCACCACUUCCUGAAGAGUUCAUGAUUUGAAUGGUCGUGGUUAAAGCGAGCAAGCAAAGGGGUUUGGAUGGAUCUCAAUAGAGGCAAAGGAGAAUGAACCGAGAAAAGGAGGGUGGGUGGAUCCGGGAUCCCAAUCAAAAGCAGAGAAGCAAAGGUUGGGGGUGGGGUGGAGGAAGAACUGGGAAAGGGGGUUGGCUCUCGAUAAGAAGCAGAGAAGAAAGGGAGGGUGAGAAUAGCAUGUCAGUGAUGGCGGUGGUCGAGAAGGAGAAAUGAUUUUUUUUUUCCUCCCAACAUGAUUGUAAGUGAAUGGCGUUUACAAAACUAACAUUAAUUUGUAUUGAAGAAAAAUGAGCCCUUUUCAAUUGCAAUUAUACAUUAACAUUAGUGGGUGAUUUGAACAA